Molecule: ribosomal RNA, 523 nt
Filed under: uncultured bacterium
Lineage: Bacteria
Description: partial 16S ribosomal RNA
Rfam family: Bacterial small subunit ribosomal RNA
Source: RNAcentral
GACGAACGCUGGCGGCGUGCCUAAUACAUGCAAGUCGAACGCUUUUUCUUUCACCGGGGCUUGCUCCACCGAAAGAAAAAGAGUGGCGAACGGGUGAGUAACACGUGGGUAACCUGCCCAUCAGAAGGGGAUAACACUUGGAAACAGGUGCUAAUACCGUAUAACACUAUUUUCCGCAUGGAAGAAAGUUGAAAGGCGCUUUUGCGUCACUGAUGGAUGGACCCGCGGUGCAUUAGCUAGUUGGUGAGGUAACGGCUCACCAAGGCAACGAUGCAUAGCCGACCUGAGAGGGUGAUCGGCCACACUGGGACUGAGACACGGCCCAGACUCCUACGGGAGGCAGCAGUAGGGAAUCUUCGGCAAUGGACGAAAGUCUGACCGAGCAACGCCGCGUGAGUGAAGAAGGUUUUCGGAUCGUAAAACUCUGUUGUUAGAGAAGAACAAGGGUGAGAGUAAAACGUUCAUCCCUUGACGGUAUCUAACCAGAAAGCCACGGCUAACUACGUGCCAGCAGCCGCCGUAA